AUUGAACGCUGGCGGAAUGCUUUACACAUGCAAGUCGAACGGCAGCAACGGGGCAACCUGGUGGCGAGUGGCGAACGGGUGAGUAAUACAUCGGAACGUGCCCAAUCGUGGGGGAUAACGUAGCGGAAAGUUACCGCUAAUACCGCAUACCGAUCUACGGAUGAAAGCGGGGGAUCGCAAGACCUCGCGCGAAUGGAGCGGCCGAUGUCAGAUUAGCUAGUUGGUGAGGUAAAGGCUCACCAAGGCGACGAUCUGUAGCGGGUCUGAGAGGAUGAUCCGCCACACUGGAACUGAGACACGGUCCCAGACUCCUACGGGAGGCAGCAGUGGGGAAUUUUGGACAAUGGGCGCAAGCCUGAUCCAGCCAUUCCGCGUGCAGGAUGAAGGCCU
RNAcentral lists this ribosomal RNA (390 nucleotides) under uncultured bacterium. RNAcentral describes it as "bacterial SSU rRNA". It matches the Rfam family "Bacterial small subunit ribosomal RNA", at positions 30 to 417 of the family's 1533-position model. The record is from RNAcentral.